This 678-nucleotide ribosomal RNA is filed under the name uncultured Pseudomonadota bacterium. RNAcentral describes it as "bacterial SSU rRNA". It matches the Rfam family "Bacterial small subunit ribosomal RNA", at positions 74 to 745 of the family's 1533-position model. The record is from RNAcentral. Lineage: Bacteria; Pseudomonadati; Pseudomonadota.
AGAAGCUUGCUUCUUUGCUGACGAGUGGCGGACGGGUGAGUAAUGUCUGGGAAACUGCCUGAUGGAGGGGGAUAACUACUGGAAACGGUAGCUAAUACCGCAUAACGUCGCAAGACCAAAGAGGGGGACCUUCGGGCCUCUUGCCAUCGGAUGUGCCCAGAUGGGAUUAGCUAGUAGGUGGGGUAACGGCUCACCUAGGCGACGAUCCCUAGCUGGUCUGAGAGGAUGACCAGCCACACUGGAACUGAGACACGGUCCAGACUCCUACGGGAGGCAGCAGUGGGGAAUAUUGCACAAUGGGCGCAAGCCUGAUGCAGCCAUGCCGCGUGUAUGAAGAAGGCCUUCGGGUUGUAAAGUACUUUCAGCGGGGAGGAAGGGAGUAAAGUUAAUACCUUUGCUCAUUGACGUUACCCGCAGAAGAAGCACCGGCUAACUCCGUGCCAGCAGCCGCGGUAAUACGGAGGGUGCAAGCGUUAAUCGGAAUUACUGGGCGUAAAGCGCACGCAGGCGGUUUGUUAAGUCAGAUGUGAAAUCCCCGGGCCCAACCUGGGAACUGCAUCUGAUACUGGCAAGCUUGAGUCUCGUAGAGGGGGGUAGAAUUCCAGGUGUAGCGGUGAAAUGCGUAGAGAUCUGGAGGAAUACCGGUGGCGAAGGCGGCCCCCUGGACGAAGACUGACG